RNAcentral lists this long non-coding RNA (545 nucleotides) under Pan troglodytes (chimpanzee). RNAcentral describes it as "long non-coding RNA NONPTRT012258". Lineage: Eukaryota; Metazoa; Chordata; Mammalia; Primates; Hominidae. The record is from RNAcentral.
CUUUAGGAUGUCACUGUGCCUUUGGCCGGAGCUCAUUCUGCUGCCAGGAUGAGUCACCUCGAAGAUAAGAGUCGCAGUCAUUUGUGAGCUGGGUGUUACCACACUUGGCAGAACUUGGAUUCUAUUGUGUCCGGAAUUGGUGGGUUCUUGGUCUUUCUGACUUCAAGAAAUGAAGCCACAGACCCUCGAGGUGAAACCAGAGAGAGCUUGACCUCAAUGUGGGUACCGACGGUCUAAUUUCCUGAUGCUUGGAGGAGGACAUGUAAGAGGGACUGCUGGACUCUGCAGAGGGAGAAGGAUGCGCUGAGACAUUCCAUUCCAACUCUCUCACAAAGCUACCCAUGAAUCCCUCAGAGCCAGGGUGAGAACCCAGGGAUGAAUGAAGUGGAUACAGUUAGGGCGCUAAAACCAGGAAUUCUUCUCUUCGUGUGAUAUUUAUAGGAGUUGCACAUAAAAAGUAACUCAGCCACCAUUACCAUCAUUGCCGUCAUCACCAUUACCCCGAGAGAGGAGCAUCGGCUCAAUGUCCUGUAAUGUCCAAAAAC